Molecule: ribosomal RNA, 253 nt
Filed under: uncultured bacterium
Lineage: Bacteria
Description: partial 16S ribosomal RNA
Rfam family: Bacterial small subunit ribosomal RNA
Source: RNAcentral
UACGUAGGGUGCAAGCGUUAAUCGGAAUUACUGGGCAUAAAGCGUGCGCAGGCGGUUUUGUAAGUCUGUCGUGAAAGCCCCGGGCUCAACCUGGGAAUUGCGAUGGAGACUGCAAGGCUUGAAUCUGGCAGAGGGGGGUAGAAUUCCACGUGUAGCAGUGAAAUGCGUAGAGAUGUGGAGGAACACCGAUGGCGAAGGCAGCCCCCUGGGUCAAGAUUGACGCUCAUGCACGAAAGCGUGGGGAGCAAACAGG